This 232-nucleotide ribosomal RNA is filed under the name uncultured bacterium. Its description in RNAcentral is "partial 16S ribosomal RNA". It matches the Rfam family "Bacterial small subunit ribosomal RNA", at positions 109 to 334 of the family's 1533-position model. The record is from RNAcentral.
AGUAACACGUGGGUAACCUGCCUCGAUGACCGGGACAACCCGGGGAAACCCGGGCUAAUACCGGAUGUGCCCGCCUCACAUCAGUGAGGUUGAGUAAAGGUAGCUUCGGCCUCCGCAUCGAGAGGGGCCCGCGGCCCAUUAGCUUGUUGGUGGGGUAACGGCCUACCAAGGCUGCGAUGGGUAGCUGGUCUGAGAGGACGAUCAGCCACACUGGGACUGAGACACGGCCCAG